UUAUCUCCUUUUGUUUCAGCUGUAGUGGGACGAACUACGAAAGCUCUCACUUCCUUACUGCACUAUAAGGAUACAUAGGCAGGAGAAUUCAAAUUCUUUGUGAGCUACCCUAUUUAUUAAUCAAUCAUUCUUCAUUCAUUCAAUCAAUACCAUCUUUUUGAGAUCAAAUAUACUUCUCCUUGAACUCCUUGUACAUCCUUUUAGGAUGAUAUAAUGGAAGUCCACCUCAUGAAUCAAAAGUUGUUUGGAUCGUUCAC
RNAcentral lists this long non-coding RNA (257 nucleotides) under Lathyrus oleraceus (garden pea). RNAcentral's name for it is "Pisum sativum (pea) long non-coding RNA (PSAT_LNC015865)". The record is from RNAcentral. Lineage: Eukaryota; Viridiplantae; Streptophyta; Magnoliopsida; Fabales; Fabaceae.